Molecule: ribosomal RNA, 104 nt
Filed under: Eriocheir sinensis (Chinese mitten crab)
Lineage: Eukaryota; Metazoa; Arthropoda; Malacostraca; Decapoda; Varunidae
Description: partial 28S ribosomal RNA
Source: RNAcentral
GACGACGACGUCGUGUUGUGGAGGAGCAGCCGCCUUAUUUCAUAUUAUUAAUAAGAGGAGGAGAAGCAAACAAGAAGUCUUCUCUUAUGGUGGGGGAAGAAAAA